This 253-nucleotide ribosomal RNA is filed under the name uncultured bacterium. Its description in RNAcentral is "partial 16S ribosomal RNA". It matches the Rfam family "Bacterial small subunit ribosomal RNA", at positions 524 to 776 of the family's 1533-position model. The record is from RNAcentral.
UACGUAGGGAGCAAGCGUUGUCCGGAAUCAUUGGGCGUAAAGCGCGCGUAGGCGGCCCGGUAAGUCCGCUGUAAAAGUCAAAGGCUCAACCUUUGAAUGUCAGUGGAUACUGCCGGGCUAGAGUCCGGAAGAGGCGAGUGGAACUCCUGGUGUAGCGGUGGAAUGCGCAGAUAUCAGGAAGAACACCAACGGCGAAGGCAGCUCGCUGGGACGGUACUGACGCUGAGACGCGAAAGCGUGGGGAGCGAACAGG